AAAGUGUACAGGUCCUCGAAGAGAGUUUCCAUGGAAUCAAUUCACAUCUCCAUGAUCCACGGAUCCGCAUCCUCUCCAUCAAAGGUAGGCGGAUCAAAUUGCUUGAAGGUCAUGAGGGCCGCCAAAGCUCGCUCCCACUUUGCCUCCACCAAUGCACUAUCGGGAGUCGGGUUGCCCGACCUCGAUGGAAAUGUCUCCGCCGCGACUCCCGGCCGUACUUGACGAGCCGCGACUGGUGCAAUUACCAGUUGAUCCACCGUUUCUUGGAGUCUUUUCACUCGCUCCUCCUUACGCAUGGCAGCCUUCUGCUGUCGCUGCACCACAUCGGCUUGUUCCCUCACCACUCCAACGAGUGUGGCCAACUGAUCACGAAGCUCUAAGUCUCCACUCGCGUCAGUUCGCUCAGGGACACCACUUGUCCCCUCCCGCGCCGAUCUGGAUGAAGAUCGCCUAGCGGAGGUCUUUGAUCGGGCUUUGUCGGCGGAGCAUGGCUAUGCCCACGAACGCGAGGAACGCGAGUCCGCAGCCAAGGCAAAGGAGAAGAGCAAGAAGCGGACGGCGGGUGGCACCGGGGGUCGGCCAAAUGCUAAGAAACCCCCUCGGUAUCCCCAACAGUAGUUGAGGAGUUGGAGGCCAUCCCGUUGUGUUAUUUGCGGUGGUAACCAUCAACCGCCGACAUGCCCGUAGCGGGAUGGAAAAUGCUUCAAGUGUGGCCAACCUGGGCAUGUGUCGCGAGAGUGCCCUAGCUGGGGUUCGUCUGCACCGACCUCGGCAUCAGUUCCUCAUACCCCGAGGCAGCAGGCGGGAUUACCGCCUGCUGUGUCGGCUGGACGCUCGUCUUCAUCGCGUCAGCCGGAGGCAUCGAGAGCACCGAGUGGACGGGUUUUUUCCACUCAGGUGGAGGAGGAGCCAAUUCCUGUUCCCGACGACAUCGUGGCAAGUAUUAUCUCGAUCAGAGGCACUAGAGCUAGAGCUUUAUUCGACACAGGUGCAUCGCAUUCAUUUAUAGAUGCAUCAUUCGCUAGGACUCAUGGCAUUAAGAUUGUGCAUCAUUAUGACUAUUGGACGGUGAAUUCGGUCGAGCAUACCUUCCAUGUUCACGAAGAGUGUGUAGCGUGUCCAGUGCAGAUAGGUGAUUGGGUCAUGUCGAGCGACCUGUUGGUGUUGAAUCGAAUGUGGGGUUUCGACGUGAUCUUGGGGACGAACUGACUCUCUAUUCGACGUGAUCUUGGGGACGAACUGACUCUCUAAGUGUUAUGCCGUGAUAGAUUGCGAAAGUGAGGUGAUCACGUUUCGUGAGCCUAAUCGAGAGGAGCUAGUUUAUCGGGCAGCUAAAAGCUCGCUCUUCCCGGCGACCGUGUCGGCGGCACGGGCGAGGAAGAUGAUAAAGGGUGGUUGUGAAGCCUACUUGGCGACCAUGGUAGAGGCCCAGAAGGAGCACCCGGAACAUAGUGGUAUUCGGGAGGCCUGUGAAUUUUCGGAUGUAUUUCCGGCGGAGUUAUCGGGUUUGCCACCGGACCGGGAGAUCGAGUUCGUUAUUGACUUAGUAGCCGGGGCGGCUCCAAUUUCGAAGGCUCCGUAUAGAAUGGCACCGGCAGAGCUAAAGGAGCUCAAGGCACAGUUGCAAGACUUACUUGACAAAGGCUUUGUGAGGCCGAGCGCGUCACCCUGGGGAGCCCCGGUGCUAUUCGUUAAGAAGAAGGAAGGCACACUUCGACUCUGCGUGGAUUACCGUGAGUUGAACAAGAACACGGUGAAGAAUAAGUACCCGUUGCCGAGGAUUGAUGACUUAUUCGAUCAGUUGCAAGGGUCAAGGGUAUAUUCAAAGAUUGAUCUUCAAUCGGGGUAUCAUCAGUUAAAGAUAUGGCCCGAGGAUGUGCACAAGACGGCGUACCGUAUGCGGUAUGGCCAUUAUGAGUUCACGGUGAUGCCGUUUGGGCUUACUAAUGCCCUGGCGGCGUUCAUGGACUUAAUGAAUAGGGUCUUCCAUCCGCUAUUGGACCGGUGCGUCGUGGUAUUUAUUGACGACGUAUUGGUAUAUUCUCGGACCGAGGAGGAACACGAGGAACAUUUGAGGACCGUGUUGGAAAUACUCCGAAAAGAGAAGUUGUAUGCGAAGUUGAAGAAAUGCGACUUUUGGCUAUCGGAGGUCACUUUCCUUGGUCAUGUAAUUUCAGGCGAUAGUAUCUCGGUGGACCCGAAGAAAGUGGAGGCAAUUAGAGAUUGGCCUCGCCCGACGAGCGUAUCGGAGGUCCGCAGUUUCCUUGGGCUAGCGGGCUAUUACCGGCGGUUCGUGGAGGGGUUUGGUAAAAUAACUACUCCACUAACGCGCCUUACACACAAAGGGGUGAAGUAUGUUUGGAGCCCCGAAUGCGAGCGGAGCUUCGAGGAAUUAAAAGAAACAUUGACCACGACCCAAGUGCUUGCUCUACCGACGCCGGGGGAGACAUUUGUGGUGUAUAGUGAUGCUUCUUAUGUUGGACUCGGGUGUGUCUUGAUGCAAAACGGGCGGGUUAUAGCUUAUGCUUCGCGCUAAUUGAAGACGUAUGAGAAGAACUACCCGAUCCACGAUCUGGAGUUAGCGGUGGUUAUUUUCGCGCUAAAAUUGUGGAGGCAUUAUCUAUAUGGGGAAUAUUGUGAGAUCUACAUAGAUCACAAAAGUCUUAAAUACUUGUUCACCCAAAAGGAGCUAAAUAUGCGACAGCGGCGGUGGUUAGAAUUGUUGAAAGACUAUGAUGUUGCUAUUCUAUACCACCCCGGGAAAGCAAAUGUCGUGGCCGAUGCACUUAGUAGGAAAUCGGGAGAAAAUUUGGCUUCGGUAAUUACAUCCCAACCAUUAAUGCAGAAGAAGAUGCAACGGCUCGGUUUGGAAGUAGUGGAGCCGGGGGUGCCGACUACACUUGCCACGCUAGUAGUGCAACCGACCUUGUUGGAGAGGAUCAAGGAGUUGCAAGCUUCCGAUGAGUAUCUCCAAAAGGUGCGCGGUGAAGUUGAGAACGCUAGUGUCGACGAUUUUGGUAUUGGGGCCGACGGCACACUUCGAUUUCGGAAUCGUUAGUGUGUGCCUAAGAACAAGGACAUCCGCAAAGCAAUUAUGCAAGAGGCGCAUCAAUCCCCUUAUAGUAUUGACCCGUGCAGCACCAAAAUGUAUCAAGAUUUGUAAUUGCACUAUUGGUGGCCGGGCAUGAAGAAAGACAUUGGGGAGUUUGUUGCGCAAUGUCUUACUUGCCAACAAGUAAAAACGGAGCGGCGGUUUCCAGCGGGAAAGUUGCAAAGUUUACCUAUACCCGUUUGGAAAUGGAAAAAUAUCGCAAUGGACUUCGUGACCGGAUUGCCUCGAUCUUAAGGUGGACAUGAUGCAAUUUGGGUGAUAGUAGACCGGUUGAUGAAGUCGGCACAUUUUCUACCGAUUCAUAUUACUUGGUCGGGGGACAAGUUGGCUCAACUAUAUAUUGACGAGGUUCUGAGACUUCACGGGGUACCGGUGUCUAUUGUAUCAGAUUGGGACCCGAGGUUUACAUCUCAUUUUUGGAGGAGCCUACAGGAGGCCUUAGGCACUCGGCUCGACUUUAGCACAGCAUUUCAUCCUCAAAGUGAUGGUCAAUCGGAGAGGACGAUACAAAUACUUGAGGAUAUGCUUCGAGCAUGUGUACUAGACUACAAGGGCAGUUGGCACGAUCAUCUACCGAUGGCGGAGUUCGCGUACAAUAAUAGUUGCCAAGAGAGUAUCGCGAUGGCGCCAUUCAACGCCCUUUAUGGAAAGAAAUGUUGUCUCCAAUCCAUUGUAGCGAUGUGGGCGAGAGAGCUACUCUUGGCCGAGAUGUGGUGCGGGAGGCGGAGGAGAAAGUUCGCCUUGCCCGCCAAAGACUCACUACGGCGCAAUCUCGGCAAAAGUGUUAUGCCGACAGACGGAGGAAAGAUAUAGAAUUUGCCGUUGGAGACCACGUUUUCCUAAAGGUGUCGCCAAUGCGAGGAGUUAGACGGUUUGGGCUUCGGGGGAAGCUAAGUCCCCGGUACCUCGGACCGUUUGAGGUAUUGGAGCGGGUCGGCGUGGUGGCGUACAAGAUAGCAUUACCACCGAGGCUUGCGGGAGUGCAUGAUGUAUUUCACGUAUCGAACCUCCGCAAGUAAGUUCACGACCCCGAUCAUGUUCUCUCGUUCGAACCGUCCGAGAUCCAAGAGGACAUGACCUAUGAAGAGUUCCCGGCAUACAUCAUCGAUCGAGAAGUAAGAAAACUACGAAAUCGAGAGAUUCCGUAUGUUAAGAUUCGUUGGUGCAAUCACGAUGACCGGGAGGCUACUUGGGAGCUCGAGAGCGCAAUGCGGGAGUAUUAUCCUCACCUCUUUAACGAGCUGAAUUGAGGUAUGAGUUUAAGUCUAAAUUAAGUAAGUUUCGCGGACGAAACUAAAUUUAAGGGGGAAAGAAUGUAACAUACCGAAACCUCGGUAAUUAAAUUCGAACCUUGAUCAAAUUGACCAAAGUGCGAGGUUGGUACACUUCGGAAAGGCCGAAGGCGUCAAAUAAUGCAAAAAUGCAUUACUGGGGAUCUUCGAGAGCUUUGAAAAUUAAAAUCUGCAAACUGCAGGUUUCGUGCUCUAGGGGACCGGUCCCUGGUGGGAGAGACCGGUCCCGGAACGCGUAGGCAGCGAGAUGGCUGAGAAAUCGGCUAAGUCCUGAAAAAUCAGCUCUCGGGAACCGGUCCGUGCGAGGAGAGACCGGUCCCCUAGAGACCGGUCCCAUCGAGGGAGACCGGUUGCAUCGCGCGCAGCCUGCACAGUCCGCGGGAGAAGCUCUCGGGGACCGGUCCCAGGUUGGGGAGACCGGUCACUGACUGCGAAAAAUGCCCAGUCUGGGCAGUGCACUGGAGAUAAAGUGCGAGGGCUUAAAUGCAAUUGUCACAACACCUUAUAUGGCCCAACCUUCUCUCCUCUUCAUAGCACACACACACAUCUCUCCCUCUCACUUUCUCUCUUUUCUCUUUCUAGAGAGCUAACCCUAGAGCUUGGAGAAGAAGAAGAAGGAGCUUGAGGAGGAAUUUUUGGUGGAUUUGGUGGGUCUAGGAGCUCUCCAACAAGAAGGAACUUGCUAGGACUUGGACUAGAGGUAAGUUCUUGUAAGAUUUCCUCUAGGGUUUGGAUUUUAACCUUAGAUUUUGGAGUUUUUGUCUCUUUAGAGGCUUUAGAAGAGUAGUAGAGCCUUGAACACCAUGAACACUAGUUUUCUUCAUGGUGCUCUAAUGGGCGAUUUCUAGGGUUUGCAUUUUAAGCCCUAGAGAUGGUUGGGAUGGUUCUAAAUGAGCUUCUAGAGACUAGACAAGCUCUCUUUUGCUUGUUUUAGAGAUCAAAACCUAGGGUUUAGCAAUGGGUUUGGUUAGGGCACCAAAUUUGGGGCUUUUGCCCUAGGAUUUUUCGAGGGCGAAUUGACCUCGUAGAAACCUAAUUGGCGGUAUCCUCGACGCGUUGGACAACUCCGUUCGACGUUACGAAAAUAUUUAAGUAUGGUUCAUGUACAAAGGGCCUAAUAUGGCACUAUUUUGGUUAUAGGACGCAGAAUCGGCUUUCGUAAAGUUCGGGAGUCGUCAUAUUCUACACCCAAACGACUACUCGAGGUGGGUGGUGCAUUCCAAGGACUUCGAAAAUCUCUCUAUGUCUAAGUGUCAUGUUUUGAGCAUAUGUACAUAUUUGAGCAUUUUGCAUAAUAGGGUUAAAUUGUGAACUCUUUUAUAGCAUGAAGUAAAUUCAAAUGCAUGUUAAAUACUUGUAAGAAUGUGAGUAUGAUAAACCCUAUUUAUGCACGACAAGUGACAAGAACCUAGAAGGGUUAGUGAACAAAAGUAACACAUGGACAUAGAUCUAGUGAGUGACAUUGAUGAAUCUAGAACACUUAGAAAAUAAGUGUGGCAUGAGUACAAGAACUUAGUAGUGCAUAUGAUACUAGUGAUAGUAAAGAAUGGAAAGAAAAGAAUGAUUGAGACAUUAUGACAUUUCAAUCUUAGAGUUAAGGGUCAUUUGUUCAUGGUCUUCCUUAAAGUUAAGGAAUGGAUUGAACUUGGAAUCCUCAAUGUAGGAUUGAUCGUACUCACCUUUAGUCCUUGCUCGAGGGUGUUAGCUCCCCCUCGGGCGAUGUGCUCCGGAGUCGACAUCACUGUUGUAGCGGGUAUCUCCCCAGAGGACGGUCCUAUCGGGUUGUAGCGCGUAUUUUCACGGUUAUUAGGAUUUUGGGUUGGUGAGUUUGUUCAGGGCAAAACCUACGGGUUAGCCAAGAGAUUGGGUAAAGAAAUUGUGAUCCUGCAUUCAUCAUGAGCAUUAUACCAAGUAUCACAUUUUAUAUUGUUCAGGUAUAUUAGUUGCAUUUGUUAGUUUGCUACUUUCUUUCUUCUAUUCUAUUAUGCCUUAUUAGACCUAGUGGGAUAGUCGGCGUGAUUGGUUGCCGAACCCACUGGAAACUUUGUUGUAGUUUCACACCCCUAUUUCCACAGAGCCGGGACCGAGCGAGCCGGCAGACGACCGCGGUAAGGGCAUCGCGCCCUAGGUAGAGACCGCCCGAGAUGUUUUAUUUCUUAGUUGCAUACCCUUUUGAUAUAUCAUCUUUUGUAUUUUGAUGAUUAUAGUUGUUAAAUAAAAGGAUAUGAAUGAUGUAAAAGAAUUUAUUCAAUAUCAAUGUUAUAUUUUGGAGAUAUGAGAUGUAAAAAAGAAAUGAUACAAAAUUGUAAUUGAUUUCCUAAGUGUAGUUAUUUACUUUCACUAUUGGCUAUUGCUUGCCCUCGUGCAAGCCAUUGUGUAUGCUUCCGCUUAUGCAAACUUUAUACUCUAUUGAUACUUGUUGUUGAGCCUUGGGCGGAUAGGGGAGGCUCUGUCCGUUCGACGUCUGUUCGACGCUCUCGAACCUGCCAAAAGGAUCGGGCUCGGGGCAUGACAUUUAGCUUCCAAAUACAAUCAUUUAUAACAAAUUAUUACAAGUUUGUUCUUUCAUCUCUAACCCCUAAGUUAGACCAUUUCGGGGUACCAUUAUCUUUGGUCUCGGGGUAGGGCGCUAUCUAUGGAGCUACGCCCUUUCCUCGCAUCGCCGCGCCGCUCGCGUGUGAACUUUAAACCCCAAAACCACGUGGGGUGAGAACUAUUGUCCAUAGUUUUCAGUGGGUACGGCCACCCAAGGGAAGAGCUCGACCCACCAGGUCCGAAGGAGGCACUGCAACAUGUUAGUCCAACAGAUAUCCACAGAUACUUAUGCAAUAUUAAAACACAUGUUAUGCCUCUCAACAUGCAACAUGAAAAUCAUACAGUUUAUGCAACUAUGCAACCAACUAGUAGAUCAAUUGAUACUAAUCGAUUCUGCUAUCCCUAGCUCAUAUCCAACUAGCUUCUAAGGUUUCUGCCACCUUCGUUCCACAGAUCAAGUCCAACUAGCUACUAAGGUUUUUACUACCUUAGGUCUUGCUAUUUACCUCUAGCUUUUAAGGUUUCUACCACCUUAACCAAGCUAUCCACUCGACUCGGCCUCGAGUCAAUCAUCCGCGGACUACCGCGCAAAGCUAAGCUCGAGGUGAAGGGCAUCUUACACGCACCUCAGCCCUAAAUCCAUUCGACUAUAGGUCCACCACAGGGUGAGGAGAACCGUCGAACCCUGGACCAUAAGUCGCCAAGCUCAACGGGCGAGGAGAACCAACAUACCCGUUUCGAGCUCAUACCAGGCACGGAAAACCAACAUACCUGUUGAAUCACUGUCGGGCGAGGAGAACCAACAUACCCGCAGUUCUGAUUCACUUGCAUUCAGCCGCAAGUUUCCGCCACUCUCUCCGCGGCCACCAUAACUAGGGAUUCCGGAAUCCACUUCCAUAUCUCAAGGGUCAUCUGCAAACCUUAUAAUGUCGACCUAUCUAGAUUUGACCCAUAAACAUCCUAGUGGUUGCUACCACUAUAGUCCACAACCUAGGGUCAACCACGCUAGGUUCUACGUCAUCUCUACCUAGAUCUCGACUCUGGGUUCACUUGUUCAACCUAUAUUUAUCAACACUAGGUUCAAUGCUACUCAUGUUCAACCUAUGUUCACGACACUAGGUUCAAUGCCACUCGAUCUACUUGACAUUUUACUUGUCCACAUCGAGAAAUAUAGCCCACAUGCUCUUGUUUUCCAAUGUCGAUUCUCUAAUCAACCUAGAGUUAUCGACCAAGUUCACAUCUACGUGAAUCUAACAUAUUUUAUACAUGUCAACAUGCAUACCUCAUCUAGUAUAUUUCACAAUGUCAAAAUUCAUUUACCAUCUAGUAUAUAGAUAUCCACAUGCACAUUUCAUCUAGCAUGUCUUACGAUAUAUAAUCAUGCAUUUCAUUUAGCAUUUCUACAUUAUGUCAUUAUGCAUUCUUCUAGCUUUUCUACAUUAUGUCAUCUUGCAUCCAAUGGUAGCCUAACAUAGCAUUCAUCGCAUGCAUUGAUAUGUUUUACAUCUAACUACUAUAUAUGCAUCAAUGAUAAAUCUCACUUCGCUUCGACAUGGAAGCGAGCUAAUAACUUCGGUGAGCACAACCUACCUCGUAACGCUCUACGAUUGCUUGUAGUCACUUGCAAUCGGCCUCCCGCGGCAUUCGUUGUCCAGUUCGACUCGAACUCCCAAACGAUCACCAACUACACGUCGAUCCGCGACCUAGGGUCAUCCAGGGCCCAUUUUUAACCUUCAAUUAGAGAUUAAUAGGGUUUAAUUAGAUCAAAACCCCAACAUGCCCAAAAACCCAAUCCAAGCCCUAGCUUCUCAUUUCUCCCAAAUAACCUAAGUAUUCAUGGAGAAAACAUACUAGAAACAUUCUAAGUUCUAUUAGAACACUAAGCAUUAAGGAUUAAACUAAAUCCCAAAAGCUUACCAAAAUGCGAACGCCGAGACGGAAGCACGCCGCUCAAACGGGCGCACGAGGGACCGAACCGUUGCUCCCAAUGAGUUCCCAAGCUUCUUCUUCUCCAAAAUCCCAACUUUAGGAGAGAGAUCUAGAGGGAUGGAGGAGAAAUCUAGAGAGAGGAGAGACUCUCUCUCUAACUCCAUAUGCGUAGGUGUGUGUGUGGCUGUGAAGGAGGGCGGAAGAAGAAGAAGCCCCCUUUUUAAGUCAACUCUCCCACAAUUGCAAUCAGCCCCCUGCUGUUUCUGGGCUGUUUUCGGGCUCAGGGUCCAGACCUUUAUACAACCAAGGUCUGAACCCCGUAGGUCCAGAAAAUCUGCAUUUUUCAGACUUUGCCAAAAUUUAAGUCUUUUGCCGUUUCUUCUCCGUUUUCGCUCGUUUUCGCUCCGUGGGUCUCCGAUUCACCUCAAAUCGCAUUGAGACCACCAUAACAUGUUUUUGAGCGUGUUCAAACCAUCUUUUCAUCCACGCCUUGCCGGAUUUCGGCCAAGGCCGAAUCAUAGCUUUUCGGGUUCCGUUUCUGCACCCGACGCGUACCGAAAACACCCGAAUGCUCCCAAACUUCACCGAAAUCAUUCUAAUGGCUUCCUAAACCAACAUAUACCGUAACUUCAGAAUUAUAGAAGUUCGGUAUGCUACACAUCUCAUAACCUAGGUUUAACCACACUAGGUUCAAUACCACUCAUCUCAUAACCUAGGUUUAACCACACUAGGUACAAUGCCACUUAUCUCAUAACCUAGGUUUAACCACACUAGGUACAAUGCCACUCAUCUCAUAACCUAGGUUUAGCCACACUAGGUUCUAUACCACUUCCACCGAGAUUCACUCGACUCUAGGUUCACUGUUCAACCUAUGUUCAAUGACACUAGGUUCGAUGUCCAAUCAAGUUAUUUGUUAUCCUAGUUGUCCACACCUAGGAUUCAUAACAUCUAGUUCCUGUUUCCAAUUGUCGAGUUCUCUAAUCAUCCUAGAGUUUAUUGACCCAAGUUCACAUUCAUAUCUAGGCAUACAUAUAACCAUAUCCUAUAUGUCCACAUGCCUAUGUUUUUCAUCCAAUGGUAGGUAACAUUAUCUAGCAAAAUAUGAUUCAUGUAUUCAUAUUAAUCAUAUACAACCUACUAUUACAUGUACAUGCAUCAACAAUAAACCAUACUUCACUCUUUGGCAUGGAAGUGAUCUAAUCACUUCGGUGAAGCACAACCCACCUCACAAUACUUCCGAUUGCUUGCAAACACUUGCAAUCGGGCUUCCGCGGCACGCGUCGCCAGGUUCGGCUCGAACUCGCAAUCGACCACCGAACGCUCACCGAUUUCCAACCUAGAGUUGUCUGAGGCUCUCCUCUAACCUUCAAUUAGAGAACCAAAUGGUCAAUUUAGAUCAAAACCCUUAAACCCCAAAACCGCCAAUUUCAAGCCCUAGUUGUUUCCAUUUCUCCAAAUACCCCAAAAUUCAUGAAGCAACAUGUUUAUCUAGCUUAGAAUAGUCUAGGGAUCUCUAGAAUACCAUUCAUAAAGGAUUUAACCAAAAUCCCAAACUUUUAACCAAAUGCGAACCUCGAGUCGGAAGCACACCAAGCCACCUAGCGCUCGAGGGCUCGAUCCGCCGUUCCCAACGCGUUCCCAAGCUCGCUUUUCGCCAAAACCCCGACUUUGGGAGAGAUCCAAAGAGAAGGAGUAUGUAAUAUAUCGAAACCUCGGUAGAUAUUAUAGGAACUUGAGGAGACUAUGAGGAAGAUGUAUCAUCACUUGUUCGAGUCGACAAGCUAAGGUAUGUGAUAGUUUCGCGGACGAAACUAAUUUUAAGUGGUGGAGAAUGUAAUAUAUCGAAACCUCGAUAGAUAUUAUGGGACUUUACCCAAAUUGACUAAAGCAUCCAAGAGAAAUAGUUGGACAAGUUCCAAUUGGUAUUCCAACAAGGUUGGAAGGAUUAAAAGUUAGUUUAAAAGAGUUAGAAUGGUUUUUGCAUUGAUCGGAGCGAAAUUGGAUUAAAAAGAUGCAAAAAUCUGAAGUCUGGGCAUUUUGUACUGGUAUAGUAUCAAUGUUGUACCGGUACACAUGUGGUAACCGAGGAGAAGCUGCUCUCGGGUUUGAGAAAAAUUUGGCUAUGUUACCGGUGACACCCCUGAUGUGUACCGGUACACUUUUGUAAAACCCGAACAGCUGCUCUCGGGUUUGGUUCUGCGCGAUCGUGUUACCGGUGACAGCAAACCUGUACCGGUACACUUUGGGUCUGGCAGCAGAAUUUGGUCUGCUGCAAAAUAGAGUUUUUGGGGGGCCUAGUUGCUAUUGUUGCAACCUAUAAAAAUACCCCAACACACCAACUGGUUCACAGCAGCUGUGAACACCAUCUCCAACCUAUUUCCUCCCUCUCUCUCUCUAGGAAUCUCUCUUCAAAGGCUAAGAGGAGCUAAGAGGAGGAUUUGAAGGUGAUUUUGGAGGAUUUGAAAGGUUUGAGCUCUUCUACAAGGUGGACCUUGGAGUGCUUUUGGGCUAAGGUGAGUUUUUAUACAAGAAUGGUUCUAGGGUUUGGAUUUUUACCCUAAGUCUUGGAGUUUUGGUCUUCUUGCAAAGCUAGAAACUCUCUUGAGACCUUGAACCCAUGAAAAUUCAUGGUUUCUUCAAGUGCUCUCAUGGUGAACUUCUAGAGUUCAUGUUGGAUGCCCUAGGGAUGUAUGGAAUGGCUUAGAAAUUGGUAUUAGAGAAGUUCUAGAGGCUUAACAAGCUUACAUUUGCUUGUUCUAGAGAUCAAACCAAGAGAUUGCUAUGGUGACAUUGUUAGGGCACCAAAUUUGGGGCUUUUUCCUUCAAUCGUUUUCGAGGUAAAUUGACCUUAUGAAAACCUAAUUGGGUGUAUUCCCGACGCGUUGGUGUGUUUGGUUCGGCGAAACGAAAAUGUCUAAGUAAAUAUAUUGAAUAAAAAGCCUAAUUUGGCUUUAUUUUGGUACAGAUCGCCGCAACACGCGGAAUAGGAGUCUAAAAAUCACGAGAAUCGAACCCCAACUCCUUUGCUACUAUUCGAGGUGGGGGGUGCACUACGGAAUCAUUGGAUUCCCCUUUAUGUCUACAUCACCUUUUAUUGUGCAUAUGUGUCAAUAGUCAUUCAUGCAUAAUAGGAUAAUUUUACAUGUGAAUAUUGGUUGGGCUUCAAUUAUAUGCUUCUAACGUAGAUGAAUAUAGUGAUUGACAUGAACCAUAGAGGACAUGUUUGUUAGAACCCUAUACAUGUGUGAAUGUGAGACUUGGACUAUGAUAAUAGUAAACAAAGGUGAGAUUGACAAUAGCGACAAGAUUGGCAUUGAAAAAUGAAUCGUUAAACAAAGUUUAACCAUUAGUGGCAUUAUGGUAAGUGUAGCCUAGAGUGUGGCAUAUAUGACAAGGUAGAAACCUGUUAUAGUAUUGUGGCAUUGUGACAUUGUGGCUAUACGUCGUCAAGUUGAGGAUUGGAUCGAUACUCACGUUAAGUCUUGGCUUGAGGGAGGUAGCUCCCCCUUAAGCGGUGUGCUCCGAAGUAGGUCACCACGGGGAUAGUGGCCCCGAAGACGGUCCCUCGAGUGGAAGUGCUUGGAGCCUCCUCGAUCAAUAGGGAUUUUGGGUUGUGAGUUUUUGGGGUUAUCAAGGUUAACCGGCACAAUUGGGUAAAAGCCAAUGUAAAUUGUGGAAAGAGCAUGCAUGCAUAUUCAUUGUUACAUGAUUAUAUAUCUAUUUGUUGACAGUUUUCUUGCAGUAGUAUUAGCAUUAGUAUGGUUACUAUUCCCUUUUCUUGAAAUACUUAUGCCUAAAUAGACCUAGUGGGUAAGUCGGCAAGAUCGGUGGCCGAACUCACUGGGAACUUCGUUAUAGUUUUCACACCACUAACCCUACAUAUCCGAGUGCGAGCGGGGCGGCGGAGGAUCGAGGCAAGGGUAUUGCGCCAUAACUAGUGGCCACCGAAGUACGUACAUAGUCAUUCCCUUUUGUUCAUGUAUCAACUUUUAUUUUAUUGAUCAAGUGAUGUAAAAGUUGUAAACAAUCAUGUAUUUUGGGUUGGAUGAUUAUGAUGUAAAGAAAUUAUGAAUGAAAGUAAAACGAAUUUAAUAGUUUUAGUUUACUUGUAUUUGGUUAAAAUGUAAUCAAAUAUUAUGUAUGUGGUUGCUUGUAGUAGUUUAGAGCUUUCAUUCAUGUUGUUGCUUGCCCUCGUGUAAGUCUUGUAUAAUUGCAAUUCUCAUUGAUUGAUUGCUUAAUUAUACUUGUUGCUAGAGCCUUGGGCGGGCAGGGGAGGUCCUGUCCGUUCGGCGUCUGUUGACGUGGCCCGAAUUCGACCAAAUAGGCGGAGCUCGUGGCGUGACAGAUAUAAUGGUAUCAGAGCGUGGUGAAGGCAAAAAGUCUAGAAUGGACUUAGGGACCUUAGGAUUGGAGACCUCAGGCACUUAGAAAACACUUAACGUGGACUUGGUAAUUACGGAAACUAAUUGAUUGGGUUGACAUUGGUACUUCUCUAAAAGGAAUUAGAGAUGGAUUCAAGUGUUUAUUUGUUUUCUACUUAAGGGAUUGUGUGGGGCGGCGCACCACAUGAUGUCGAGAGACGAAAAUAAUUACGCUUGAUUGCUUUCGCUUAAUUGGGUAGUUAUUUGGAAUGUGUAAGGGUCAUGUGUGUCGAGUACUAAUAUGUGUGCUACGUUUCAGGACGUGAUGGCACCAAGGGGAUGCCCUAAGACGAGAUCCACGGGAGGAGCCCGCGCAGACAGGGUAAGAUGGAGUGCGCGAGCUGCGAGCCCAAGUAGUGGCAUUGGCUGGGGCUAUGCGGCAGCAGGGGGAGCAGAUUGGACGGCUCCACGAGUUGGUGGCACGACAGGCGGCGGCGGCGGCAGCGGCACCUGUACCUCAGGAUCCGGCCGCACCUGUAGCACCACCUCCUGUGGUGGCAGCGGCAACAGUGAUGGUGAUUCCUCCGACGGCCUCGGGUUCUUCGGCUCUAAUACCCGACGCGCUUGAGGCCGAGCGGGAGCAGUCAUUGGCGGUACUUUCGGCCUUUAAGCGAUUUAACCCUGUGACCUUCAACGGUGAUGUGAAGGAUCCGUGGGUGGUAGAGAGUUGGCUAGCCGCAAUGGAGGCGUUGUUCGAAGAUAUUUACACCCUCGAGAAGGAUAAAGUUUACCUAGCAGCUCACUGUUUCGAAGGGUCGGCUCGAUUGUGGUGGACUCAAGCGAAGAAGAGUCACUCGUUGGAUCUUGCUUCUAUUACUUGGGAGGCGUUUCGGGAGUUGCUACUUAUGGAGUAUUUUCCUGAGAGCGAUAAGCGGAAGAUUAAGGAGGACUUUCGCAAGUUGAGGCAAGGGAGCCGGAUGGUGCGGGAGUAUGAAAAGGAGUUCACGCACAUGAUCAAUUGUGUGCCGAGCUUGGUUCACGGUGAUAGGGACCGAGCGGAGGCUUUCGAGCGCAGGUUGCGAUCCGAUAUUUUCAAGGUUAUUCAUGCAUUCCGCUUGAAGACCUAUGAGGAGGUACUUGAUCGAGCGCUAUGGGUGGAGCGCGGCAAUGCUAUAGCGCGAGAGGAGCCCGAGGCUUUCGAGAAGGACAGGGAGAAAGAUAAGUCCAAGAAGCGGACGACUAAUGGAUCCGCGGGGCAGUUGAGUUAUAAUCGACCCCCUCGACAUCAGCGAUCACAGUGGCGGGGAGGCAGGAGUUAGACACAGAGCCAGACUUCCUACCCGUGCGUGAUAUGCGGCAGAGACCACCGAGUUAUUACCUGCCCUCAGCGAGAGGGGCGGUGCUUCAGAUGCGGCCAAGCGGGCCACAUAGGCCGAGAGUGCCCGGGUGGCGCAUCACCUGCUCCGCCAGCAGCUUCGGUCCAGUACACUCAGCGGCAGCAUGCAGGACUGCCACUUGCCAUGUCGGCUGGAUGUGCAUCAGCGCCUCGUCAGCCGGAGGCAUCUCAAGCACCUAGUGGGCGGAUUUUUGCCACUCAGGUGGAGGAGCAGCCGAUGGUACCCGAUGAUGUGGUGGCAGGUAUUAUUCUAAUCAAAGGCACUAGAGCUAGAGCAUUAUUUGACACGGGUGCAUCUCGUUCGUUCAUUAGUGCAUCAUUUGCAAAGAGUCAUGGCAUAGAGAUCGUGCAUAAUGAAGAUUAUUGGUGGGUGAAUGCUCCCGAGCACUCGUUCCGUAUUCAUGACAAGUGCUUGGCUUGUCCUAUUCAGAUUAGUGACUGGAUUAUACCGAUAGAUUUACUAGUGCUCGACCCAAUGUGGGGCUUCGAUGUAAUCUUGGGGAUCAAUUGGCUCUCCAAGUAUUAUGCGGUUAUAGAUUGUGAGAGCAAGGCGAUCACAUUUCGUGAGCCUAAUCAAGAGGAGAUGGUGUAUCGUGCAUGUAAAAGCUCGUGUUUCGCGGCGACGGUGUCGGCGGCGAGGGCAUGGAAAAUGAUUAAGGGUGGAUGUGUAGCCUAGGCAACAAUGGUGGACACUCAAAAAGAGCACCCGGAUUUGGGGAACAUUUGAGUAGUAUGUGAAUUUCCGGAUGUGUUUCCGGCGGAGUUACCGGGAUUGCCACCGGACCGGAAAGUCGAGUUUGUCAUUGAUUUGAUUCCCGGAGUGGCGCCAAUUUUGAAGGCUCCGUAUAGAAUGGCACCAGUGGAGCUAGUGGAAUUAAAAGCCCAAUUGCAAGAUUUGCUCGAUAAAGGCUUUGUGCGGCCGAGCGUGUCUCUGUGGGGAGCUCCGGUGCUAUUUGUAAAGAAGAAGGAUGGCACACUUCGACUUUGCGUUGAUUAUCGCGAGUUGAACAAAGUAACGAUAAAAAACAAGUACCCGUUGUCAAGGAUAGACGAUUUAUUCGAUCAGUUGCAAGGGUCAAGAGUAUAUUCAAAGAUCGAUCUUCAAUCGGAGUAUCAUCAAUUGAAGAUACGACCCAAGGAUGUGCACAAAACGGUGUACCGUACGCGGUAUGGCCAUUACGAGUUCACGGUCAUGCCGUUUGGGCUUACUAAUGCCCUCGCAGCGUUUAUGGACUUGAUGAAUCGGGUCUUUCGACCGUUAUUGGACCGGUGCGUCGUGGUAUUCAUUGACGACGUGUUGGUAUAUUCGCGGACCGAGGAAGAACACGAGGAGCAUUUGAGGAUCGUGUUGGAAAUACUCUGAAAAGAGAAGCUAUAUGCCAAGCUAAAGAAGUGUGAAUUUUGGCUUUCGGAGGUUACUUUCUUAGGUCACGUUAUAUCCAGGGAUGGCAUCUCGAUGGACCCAAAGAAAGUUGAGGCAAUUAAAGAUUGGCCUCGCCCGACAAGUGUAGCGAAAAUUUGUAGCUUCCUUGGACUUGCGGGCUACUACCGACGGUUUAUGGAGGGGUUUGCUAAAAUAACUACUCCACUAACGCGCCUUACACACAAAGGGGUGAAGUAUGUUUGGAGCCCCGAAUGUGAGCAGAGCUUCGGGGAGCUAAAGGAAAGGCUGACAUCGACCCCAGUGCUUGCUUUGCCGACGCCGUGGGAGAGCUAUGUAGUGUAUAGUGAUGCUUCGUAUAUCGGUCUCGGGUGUGUCUUAAUGCAAAAUGGCCGAAUUAUAGUUUAUGCUUCGCACCAAUUGAAGAGCUAUGAAAAGAACUACCCAAUUCACGACCUUGAGCUAGCGGCCGUUAUUUUCGCGCUAAAGUUGUGAAGGCAUUACUUGUACGGUGAGCAUUGUGAGAUCUACACCGACCAUAAGAGUCUCAAAUAUUUGUUCACCCAGAAAGAGUUAAAUGUGCGACAGCGGUAGUAGUUCGAGUUGCUAAAGGACUAUGAUGUCACUAUUCUAUACCACCCCGGGAAGGCAAAUAUCGUGGCCGAUGCUCUCAGUAGGAAGUCGGUGGAAAAUUUGGCGACGGCAGUUACGCCCCAACGGGCAUUGUAAAAAGAGAUGCAACGGUUAGGACUUGAAGUAGUGGCGCCGGGAGUGCCGGCAACACUUGCGGCGUUGGUUGUGCAAUCGACCUUGUUGGAGAGGAUUAAAGAAUUUCAAGCUUCCAAUGAAUAUCUCCAAAAGGUGCAGGGUGAAGUUGAGAGCGGUAGUGUCGAUGAAUUUGGCAUUGGGACCGACGGCGCACUACGAUUCAGAAAUCGUUGGUGCGUGCCUAAAGAUGAUGAUCUUCGGAGGGCGAUUAUGCAAGAAGCGCAUCAAUCUCCCUAUAGCAUUCAUCCGGGCGGCACCAAAAUGUAUCAAGAUUUGAAGCUACAUUAUUGGUGGCCGAGCAUGAAAAGGGACAUAGGGGAGUUUGUGGCGCAAUGUCUAACGUGCCAACAAGUGAAAGCGGAGCGCUGGUUUUCGGCGGAAAAAUUGCUAAGGCUAUCUAUACCCGUUUGGAAAUGGGAGGACAUCGCAAUGGAUUUUGUGAUCGGUUUGCCUCGUUCUCAAGGUGGAUAUGAUGCAAUUUGGGUAAUUAUGGACCGGUUGACAAAGUCGGCUCAUUUCUUGCCGAUUCACACUACAUGGUCUGGAGACAAGUUAGCUCAAGUGUAUCUCGACGAGGUUGUGAGACUUCAUGGGGUUUCGGUGUCUAUUGUAUCGGAUCGAGACCCUAGGUUCACGUCUUAUUUUUGGAAGAGCUUACAAGAUGCAUUGGGCACACGGCUCGACUUUAGUACAGCAUUCCAUCGUCAAAGUGACGGUCAAUCGGAGAGGACUAUACAAAUACUUAAGGAUAUGCUUCGGGCGUGUGUACUCGAUUACAAGGGCGGAUGGCACGAUUACGUACCGAUGGCGGAAUUCGCGUAUAAUAAUAGCUAUCAAGAAAGCAUCACGAUGAUACCAUUCGAUGCCCUUUAUGGAAAGAAAUGCCGCUCUCCCAUACAUUGGAGCGAUGUGGGGGAGAGAGUUGCUCUUGGCCCCGGUGUAGUGCGGGAGGCGGAGGAGAAAGUUCGCCUUGCCUGACAACGACUUGCAACGGUACAAUCUCGGCAAAAGAGUUAUGCCGACAAGCGGAGGAAGGAUUUAGAGUUUGCGAUUGGAGACCGCGUAUUUUUUAAAGUAUCGCCGAUGCGUGGUGUGAAGAGGUUUGGUGUCCGCGGGAAGCUAAGUCCCCGAUAUGUCGGACCAUUUGAGAUUUUGGAGCGGAUGGGUGCGGUGGCUUAUAAGCUUGCAUUACCACCGAGGCUUGCGGGAGUACACAACGUGUUUCACGUAUCAAAUCUCCGCAAGUAUAUCCGCAAUUCGACGCAUGUGUUGGAGUAUGAACCGGUGGAAUUGAAUGAGGACAUGACUUAUGAGGAGUACCCGGUUUGUAUACUAGAUCGAGAGGAAAAGAAGUUGCGGAAUCGCAUAAUUCCUUAUGUCAAGGUCCAGUGGAGGAAUCAUGCGAUGCGUGAAGUCACUUGGGAACUUGAGGAGACUAUGAGGAAGAUGUAUCAUCACUUGUUCGAGUCGACAAGCUAAGUUACGUGAUAGUUUCGCGGACGAAACUAAUUUUAAAUGGUGGAGAAUAUAAUAUAUCGAAACCUCGAUAGAUAUUAUAGGACUUUACGCAAAUUGACUAAAGCAUCCAAGAGAAAUAGUUGGACAAGUUCCAAUUGGUAUUCCAACAUGGUUGGAAGGACUAAAAGUCAGUUUAAAAGAGUUAGAAUGGUUUUUGCAUUGACCGGAGCGAAAUUGGAUCGAAAAGAUGCAAAAAUCUGAAGUCUGGGCAUUUUGUACCGUUACAGCAUUAAUGUUGUACUGGUACACAUGUGGUAACCGAGCGGAAGCUGUUCUCGGAUUUGGGAAAAAUUUAGCUGUGUUACCGGUGACAUCCCUGAUGUGUACUUGUACACUUUUGUAAAACCCGAACAGCUGCUCUCGGGCUUGGUUCUGCGCGAUCGUGUUAGCGGUGACAGCCAACCUGUACCGGUACACUUUGGGUCUGGUAGCAGAUUUUGGUCUGCUGCAAAAUAGAGUUUUUUUGGGGCCUAGUUGCUAUUGUUGCAACCUAUAAAAAUACCCCAACACACCCACUGGUUCACAGCAGCUGUGAACACCAUCUCCAACCUAUUUCCUCCCCCUCUCUCUCUAGGAAUCUCGCUCCUGUAAUAUACCAGCAUUAUGUGAUAUAAAAAUAAUAAUAAAUAAAAAUAGUGUGAGAAACUAUUUUUAUUAGAUUUAUAGAGGUAAAACAUAAGUCAGAGGUGACUUGUGCUGAAAUCGGAAUUAAAACAGAAGAUCUAGAAUUUUCUGUUGGAGACGGGACAGAAAAAUAAGCAGAAAAUGCACGGUCUCAGAAAAUUAUGAAAAUUGGCGGAGUUGUCAGAAAUAUUUUUAUGAGGCUAGAUUUAAGGUUUCAUAUUUUUCUGACACCCAUAGAGUGAGAAAUAAAAUCUGAAAGCUAUCUGAUAAAGAUUGCAGUUCGGUACAGUUUUCAGUGACCAAACGGGGUCGAAACUGAACCAGUGAUCGUCAGCUUGUUAAGUUAAGUAAAACCGAACAUGACUGUCAAGUUUGAGCUCAAACGGACAUUCAGGGAGCUCCGGCGAAAGAUAUCAGAUUUCGAACUGCCCGAAAGUGAAUAGUGUUUUGGGGUGUAAAGUAUAAAGAAGCUUUUUGCUUCUUUCUCCUUCAGCCGACCACCAUGGCCACCCACGCGCGCAUGGAGAAGGGAGAGAGAAACCCUUCUUUCUCUCUCUAGAUUGCUCUCUCAUCUCUCUAUAUUUAUCGCUCAAAUUCACGGCGUUGGUGGAGAAGAUGCUUGCGAACGCGUUGGAGGCGACGGAUUGAGCUCUCGUGCGCCCGUUGGAGCGGCGUAUUUUCGUCGCGGCGUUCACAUUGAGGUAAGCUUUUGGGAUUUGACUUAAUCCUUAGCUUUAAGUAUUCUAAUAGCCUCUAAUGAGCUUUGUUAGCAUGUUGAUCCAUUUAAUUUUGGAUUAUUUUGAGGUUAAUAGCAUAUUAGGGCUCCGAAUGGGGUUUUGUAAAAUGUAAGGGUUUGAUCUAAAUUGACCCUAUAUAAACCUAAUUGCUAGGUAAACGAACGCGUUGGCGAAGACGGUUCGGCAAUCCGACGAGCCGUUGCGAAGUUAUUAAAGAAACGGACGUUUAGGCUUCGGGUCCGCCGGGAGGGCCGAGGCGAUAUCGUAAAUUCAUGAAAAUGGAUUUGAAGCUUCGUGGCACAUAACCGAAGACCUUUAAUUUUCGGAUCGUGGAUCGGAGGCCGUUCGGUAGUCGCGUGAGAGAUCGGGCCAAACCGGGUUACGGGUGCUGCGGGAGGCCGAUUGCAAGUGUCGACAAGCAAUCGGAAUGCGAAAUGAGGUGGGUUGUGCUCACCGAAGCGAUUAGGUCGCUUUCCAUGCUAAAGUGUAGUAUGUUUACUAUUGACGCAUGAUAAAGUAUGCUAUUUAAGAAUGCAUGAUAAAGAUUAAAGUAUGCUAUUUGAGAAUGCAUGAUAAAGUAUGCUAAUUAAGAAUGCAUGUAGUAAAUGUUAACGAAUGCAUAAAAUGCUAAGUAAUGACUACCAAUGGAUGACAAAAUAUAUGCAUGUUGAACAUAGAUCGAGUGGCAUUCGAAAUGGUAAAGUGGACACUAGAGUUAGUGUGGGACAUCAAAGAAUAAAUGUGAUGUAAAGAACAAUGAUAAUGGCUAAAGAUAAUGUAAAACAAUGUGAUGAUAAUAAUGUAAUGUUGCAUGAUGUGAGUACACGUGCUUAUUAGAAUGAUUAAGAAUCUAAAUAAUCUAUGUGUAUGCAUGAGAUGUAAUGUGAGAACCUAAUGAUAAUGGCUUGAGACAAGGCAAAGCAAUGUGAUGUAAAGAAUAAUGAUAAUGGCUAAAGACAAUGUAAUGUAAUGUGGCAUAAAGAACGUGUAAAGUUAAAGAAUGUGAAAGCUAAAGAUAGCUUAAAGUAAAGGAAUGUGAAAAACGUGAUUGCUAGAGUUAGCAAAAGUAAAAGAAAUGUAAAGAACAAUGAUUGCUAGAGUGGCAACAUAAAGUGAUGUAAAGAACACUAGAGUUAGUGUAAAACCAUGAUCCAACUACAUAUCCUUAGAGUUAAGGAUUGAUCAUACUUGCUAUGAGUUCCGUGCUCGAGGGCGGUCGCUCCCCCUCGGGCGAUGCGCUCCGGAGUUUGGCAUCCGGGUUGGAGUAGACCCGUAAGGACGGUCCUAGCUGGUGAGUUCCUGCGAUGAUGGACUUAAUGUGAAGCAAGUUAAUGUGGCGAAACCCCCGGGUUAGCCGUGAGAUUAAAGAACAAAGAACAAAAAGGGAUCAUGAAUUGGAAAGUUGAUCUUGUAUUCAUUAUGAAUUGACUCAAGACCGAGUCGAGUGGCAAAGUUGGCUAAGGUAAAUGUAACCUUAGGAAAGAGUGAUAAUUGAGAAAGACUUGUUAAUGUUAUAAAGAAUGGCAAAUGUGUAUGAUGAGCCUAAGGCGCGAGUGCCCUUAGUAAAGGAUAAAGAACAAAGAAUAAAGCAUAAAGAAUAAAGCAUAAAGAAUAAAGAAUAAAGAAUAAAGAUUAAAGAAUAAAGAAUGGCUAAUGAUAAAGAAUUGCAUAUUCUAAAGAAAGGCUAAUGGUAAAGAAUGACUAAGAGUUGCAUAAUUUGCAUAUUUGUGAGGCAUGAACAUGUAUUGCAUGAUGUUAUAUAUAUAUAUAUCUGUUGGACUAACAUGUUGCAGUGCCUCCUUUGGACCUGGUGGGUUGAGCUUUUCACUUGGGUGGCUGUACCCACUGACGACUAUGGACAAUAGUCUCACCCCCGUGUUGUUGUUUUUGGGGGUACAGGUUCACACGCGAGCGGCGCGGCGGCGCGAGGAAAGGGCGUAGCUCCGUAGUUAGCGCCCUACCACAGAGACCAGAUAGCAGCACCCUGAGUCGGCUUCUUAGGGGUAUAAGAAAAGAAAAGAAAAGAAUCGAUGUUGUAAUGUUAUGUUUAGAAAUCGAUUGUAUAUUUGGAAGUUGAGAAUCAAUGAAAUGAAAAAUGCGAUGUAAAAUGAUGAGAUGAAUGAUUGUAAUAAUAUAGGAUGUGUUAUGUUGUUUGAUACCUUCCUUAUGCAAUCGUUGUUGAUAAUUGUUCCUGUUUGGAACCUCUUGUAAUUGUAUUGAUUGCGACGCCUUGAACGUACAGGGGAGACUCUGUCCGCGUGCAGGGGAAACCCUGUCCGUUCGGCGGUCUGUUGGCGUGCCCGAAUCCGACC
Molecule: long non-coding RNA, 21965 nt
Filed under: Ananas comosus (pineapple)
Lineage: Eukaryota; Viridiplantae; Streptophyta; Magnoliopsida; Poales; Bromeliaceae
Description: long non-coding RNA (ACOM_LNC012107)
Source: RNAcentral